CAUUGGCCCACUGUGAUGUUUUGACCUUAUCCUCGUGCAUCCAUCCUUCUUUCCCCUCCAAACCCUUGAUUCCGCCGUCACUCCCUUCACUUAGGCGGGCACAGCAAGGCAUGUGAGGGAUCGUUUUGCCGGUCCUUCUUUUAGCCGUUAUUGUGGAUCUUGCUCCUCACCAUGUCCAGCACGCUAUCUGUUCCAUAUUACCUCGACACCCUUGGCUUUUGAGCUACCUGUGGUCCGCUGCAGCUCCGACAUUUAUGCGGCAAGGUACAUUUCAGGAAUUUCGAGGAUAUACGAUUUGUUGGCACAUUUUUGGUUGACUUUGGACUCCUCCCUGCGCAGAGACGAGUUUCAGUCCCCGAUCUGUUUUAACGCGCUUUUCGUCAUGAACUCGGUGAUUUCAUGAUGUUUAAGGACAACCAUGGGAAUGAGUUACGCGUCAUGUUAGACAAGGUUGGUAACAAUGCAUUUUUUUUCAAGGGAUUUCAUUUCAUAGUUGCCGCGUACAACAUAAAACAUGGGGCUUGGAUGCGUGCCUAUUAUGAAGGUGAUGGCACCCUAUGCACCUCUAUAAGGAACUUUGACGGAUCUCGCAUUGUGUAUCCAAAGUCACAUUCUCGAAGUAGCUUCACUGCUCCAGCAGUCAGUAGGGUUAAUCUUCACCGAGCAGGCGUCCUGUCUUGUGAUGUGAUCCAUACGGGCAACGUCAUACCUCCAUUUUCCAUUGAAUACACUCCUCCAACUUCUCCUGUUCGUGGCAACGCCUUCGGUAGUCCACAAUAUUCAACCAACAGCCUAGGUUGUCCUGUGUAUUUUGCCUCGACUUUUUCAUAAGCUAAUCUGGUGGGACAAGUUGACCUCAGUUCGCAGAGGCAAUCGCUUAGUCCGCCCCUUGUAGGAGAUGCUGGCGGCUUCUCCAAGUGGAUUUGUCGUUAGAUUUGUUUUCGAUGUUGCCUUGCGACCGAGGAUGCUCCUACUCAUUCCUAAUCCAACUUUCAAGUUUAAACUCAA
Long non-coding RNA from Arachis ipaensis, 1008 nucleotides. RefSeq lists it as uncharacterized. Lineage: Eukaryota; Viridiplantae; Streptophyta; Magnoliopsida; Fabales; Fabaceae. The record is from RefSeq and is a predicted model, not a curated record.